ACACCAGUGGUGUGUGGUACACGCGCCGACCGGGUUGGGGACCAUUGUCCAAUCAGAGUCUACGGCGAGUCGGGGUUCGAUUCCCCGCUGGUGUG
Non-coding RNA from Mycena olivaceomarginata, 95 nucleotides. The record is from the annotation of a GenBank genome assembly. Lineage: Eukaryota; Fungi; Basidiomycota; Agaricomycetes; Agaricales; Mycenaceae.